ACAGACGUCGACUCCAGCAAAAAUGUCCUGACUGACUUCAGGAGAGAUAGGAAUUAUUGCUACGUGCCUCUUUCCCAGUGAAGAAAAUCUCUGUUGGCUGCGGGCAGAGAAGCGGCGGAAGGAUUCCCGACUCCGGGAAGCCAGGUGUCGGAAGGAGGAAGUGCGCUUGAAGGGGGUCCGGCUGGCCGACUCUGCACUCGUCCGUUCGUGGCCCACCGUGGUGGUCACCAAAUUGAGGGCUUCCUGGAAGGACCUCCUCACGGUGCCCAUCCAGUGGGUCAUGUGGGUCUGAGCCACCGUGAGUUUAUCUCCCAGCUGUCUCUCCCUCCCUCUCUGGAAGGCAACACUGAUCCAGGAUCUCACUCUGUUGCCCAGGCUGGACUGCAGUGGCUUGAUCACAGCUCACUGCAGCCUUGGCCUCCCAGGCUCAAGCGAUCCUCCCACCUCAGCCUCCUGAGUAGCUAGGACUACAGGUGGAGCAACACCGUCAGUCAGAAGGCAGCGGAUGGCACAGGGCUUCCGCGUAAGGCCUGCAUCGCCUGAGUCAUGGUUUUCUCAUCUUGUAUGAGGCCCACCCCCUUCAAAAGGUUGUGACAAAAAAAACAACUGAGAUAAUUUGUGCUGCUGGCACACAGUUAACACUCAAUAAGGCCGGGCACAGUGGCUUACACCUCUAAUCCCAGCACUUUGGGAGGCUGAGGCAGGUGGAUCACUUGAGGCCAGGAGUUCGAUACCAGCCUGACCAACAUGGUGAAACCCCAUCUCAACUAAAAAUACAAAAAUUAGCCAGGCAUGGUGGUGUGCACCUGUAGUCCCAGCUACUUGGGAGCCUGAGGCAGGAGCAUCUCUUGAACCCGGGAGGUGGAGGUUGCAGUGAGCAGAGAUCGCACCACUGCACUCCAGCCUGGGUGACAGAACAAGACUCUGUCUCAAAACAACAACAACAACAAAAUAAUAAA
Molecule: non-coding RNA, 959 nt
Filed under: Pan troglodytes (chimpanzee)
Lineage: Eukaryota; Metazoa; Chordata; Mammalia; Primates; Hominidae
Source: RNAcentral